This 460-nucleotide ribosomal RNA is filed under the name uncultured bacterium. RNAcentral's name for it is "partial 16S ribosomal RNA". It matches the Rfam family "Bacterial small subunit ribosomal RNA", at positions 338 to 795 of the family's 1533-position model. The record is from RNAcentral.
CCUACGGGUGGCAGCAGUGAGGGAUAUUGGUCAAUGGACGGGAGUCUGAAGCAGCCAAGCAGCGUGAGGGAUGAAGGUACUGAGAGUGGUAAACUUCUUUUAUGAGGGAAUAAAAGGAGGGACGUGUGCCUGGAUGCAUGUACUUGAUGCAUAAGCAUCGGCUAACUCCGUGCCAGCAGCCGCGGUAAGACGGAGGAUCCGAGCGUUAUCCGGAUUUAUUGGGUUUAAAGGGAGCGAAGGUGGGUUGGUAAGUCAGUUGUGAAAGGUUGCGGCUCCACCGUCGAAUUGCCGUGGAUACGGGCAGUCUUGAGUGGAGUAGAGGUAGGCGGAAUUCGUGGUGUAGCGGUGAAAUGCUUAGAUAUCACGAAGAACCCCGAUUGCGAAGGCAGCUUACUGGCCUUUGACUGACGUUGAGGCUCGAAAGUGUGGGUAUCAAACAGGAUUAGAUACCCUGGUAGUC